Molecule: long non-coding RNA, 1062 nt
Filed under: Coffea arabica (coffee)
Lineage: Eukaryota; Viridiplantae; Streptophyta; Magnoliopsida; Gentianales; Rubiaceae
Description: long non-coding RNA (CARA_LNC001139)
Source: RNAcentral
UUUUUUUUUUUUUUUUUUUUUUGAUGUCCGAGUCAAUCCUUACGAGGCCCAACUAAUUUCCUGCAACCCGGGCUCGGCGCUCCAACCCGACCCAUGUGAAUCUCAUAGCAGCCACCUUCAGCGUUGGCACGUCAUAAAGAAACACAGUUAUAUUUCACAAUUUAUUCACCAAAUCAAGAUCACUUUCCGAAGACCAUGAUCGUUAAAAUAAAGAAACCCUCAGCGUCGGUUAAUUGGACAAUUAUAACAUCCACGUUUGCCGGUCAUAGAAGGACUUUGCGAUUGCAGUUGUGCUACCAAACUACACAUUGAGCUUUGCACAAAAAAUAAAAUGAAAAAUUCGACUUCUUCUUUAUCUGAUCCUUUUUGUGAAAUUCUUGACGGUUUUUUCAUGCUCACCAUUCGUCCACAACGAAAUUUUUAUAGAAAGAAAAGAAGACUAGAGUGAGCCAACUUGCAUAUGAACGUUCUUUUCUGUAUUGUGUGUUUUGAAUUUUUAUGUAUCCCUUUAUGAAUAUGUCAUACUUGGGAACAGCUUUAAGUUGAGAUGAAGUGAAUUUAGAUAAUUAGACGUGCAAAUAAUCUAGUACUUCCUAGAGGUAAUUCUCUCAUCUUGGUUGCUCCCUUUAAGUUAAACAUUUCAGCCAACUUUCACAGAAGUUCAAACCACAGGGGGUCGGAAUGUAGGUUUUCGAACCAUAGGGACUUUUCUGUAGAUUAGUUUAACCACUAGGGCCUUUCUCGUAUUCUACCCCCAUCAUUGAGAGUUAGUUUCAGGGAAUCAAAGAGGAGAUGAAGUAUCAUGCAGUUCAUGAAUUAAAUUCUAAAUCAUCCAAAACUGCAGGACUAAUGUUAUCUCAAUGCAAUGUACAGCAUAAAGGAAGGUUGUGUGGAUCCUAUUAAACAUGGAAGCAGAACAAGAUUUGCUGGCGCAGCACAAGCGCAGAGCUCCUUGAAGAAUUUUAACAAAAAAAACAAGGCUCUCAGAAUCUUCUUUGCUUUUUUCGCACUACCUUCUAUCCUAUCUUAAUUAAAGAGAAUCUGAAGCUUAGCAGGCAACCA